GACGAACGCUGGCGGCGUGCCUAAUACAUGCAAGUCGAACGCACUCUCGUUUAGAUUGAAGGAGCUUGCUCCUGAUUGAUAAACAUUUGAGUGAGUGGCGGACGGGUGAGUAACACGUGGGUAACCUGCCCUAAAGUGGGGGAUAACAUUUGGAAACAGAUGCUAAUACCGCAUAAAACCUAACACCGCAUGGUGUAGGGUUGAAAGAUGGUUUCGGCUAUCACUUUAGGAUGGACCCGCGGUGCAUUAGUUAGUUGGUGAGGUAAAGGCUCACCAAGACCGUGAUGCAUAGCCGACCUGAGAGGGUAAUCGGCCACACUGGGACUGAGACACGGCCCAGACUCCUACGGGAGGCAGCAGUAGGGAAUCUUCCACAAUGGACGAAAGUCUGAUGAGCAACGCCGCGUGAGUGAAGAAGGUUCGGAUCGUAAACUCUGUU
Molecule: ribosomal RNA, 439 nt
Filed under: uncultured bacterium
Lineage: Bacteria
Description: bacterial SSU rRNA
Rfam family: Bacterial small subunit ribosomal RNA
Source: RNAcentral